AGAGUUUGAUCCUGGCUCAGAAUGAACGUUGGCGGCGUGGAUUAGGCAUGCAAGUCGAGCGAGAAGCUUCCCUUCGGGGAAGUGGACAGCGGCGUAAGGGAGAGUAACGUGUGGAUAUCUACCCCGGGGUUCGGGAUAGCUGUGGGAAACUGCGGGUAAUACCGAAUAACAUCUUCGGAUCAAAGGUGUGAUUCCGCCCUGGGAUGAGUCCGCAUCCUAUUAGCUUGUUGGUGGGGUAAAGGCCUACCAAGGCUUCGAUGGGUACCGGGUGUGAGAGCAUGGCCCGGCUCACUGGGACUGAGACACUGCCCAGACACCUACGGGUGGCUGCAGUCGAGAAUCUUCGGCAAUGAGCGCAAGCUUGACCGAGCGACGCCGCGUGAGGGAUGAAGGCCUUCGGGUUGUAAACCGCUGUCAGAGGGGAUGAAAUGCUGGUUGGCUAUCCUUCCAGUUUGACAAAUCCUCAGAGGAAGUACGGGCUAAGUUCGUGCCAGCAGCCGCGGUAAUACGAACCGUACGAACGUUAUUCGGAAUCACUGGGCUUAAA
RNAcentral lists this ribosomal RNA (547 nucleotides) under uncultured Planctomycetota bacterium. RNAcentral describes it as "bacterial SSU rRNA". It matches the Rfam family "Bacterial small subunit ribosomal RNA", at positions 8 to 564 of the family's 1533-position model. Lineage: Bacteria; Pseudomonadati; Planctomycetota. The record is from RNAcentral.